AACGAACGUUGGCGGACUGGAUUAGGCAUGCAAGUUGAGCGUACCCAGCAAUGGGGAGCAGCGUAAGGGGCAGUAAGGCAUGGGUAUCUACCCGGGGAUCGGGCAUAGCCUGUAGAGAUACAGGGUAAUUCCCGAUGAUGUCGCAAGACCAAAGCUCCGGCGUCCCUGGAGGAGCCCAUGUGAUAUUAGCUAGUUGGUGGGGUAACGGCCCACCAAGGCGAAGANGUCUAGCGGGUGUGAGAGCACGACCCGCGCCACUGGCACUGAGACACUGGCCAGACACCUACGGGUGGCUGCAGUCGAGGAUCUUCGGCAAUGGGGGCAACCCUGACCGAGCGAGUCCGCGUGUGCGAUGAAGGCCU
Molecule: ribosomal RNA, 362 nt
Filed under: uncultured bacterium
Lineage: Bacteria
Description: bacterial SSU rRNA
Rfam family: Bacterial small subunit ribosomal RNA
Source: RNAcentral